CCAGCCAGGACUCAAGGGAGGGACGAAGUUUGCAACCCUGGUUUAGCCUCAAUUGGGAUCACAGAGAUGUCACGGAAAGCGCAAUCGGGAAAUGGAUUGUCUCCAUCUCUGCUCAUAGAAAGCAGGGCCCAAGUGUACAGGCAGCGCGUUUGUAUUUGAAGUUGUAUUAACUAGCUCUCUCUGCAAUUCCACAUACUAAAUUAUGACGUCCUCCUCGGAGCAGCAGCAUAAUGGACAACAGACGCCUGCAGGGAGAAGGGAAGCCAAGAUGGUCAGCCACGGGGAAGCUCAUCCACAGAGGGAAAGCUCAAUCCUGACCAUCUCGGCAAUCCUCAGUUUCUGCAGGAUGUUUGAAAGCUCCCAUUCGCUGCUGCCUUUGAAAGCUCCCAUUCGCUGCUGCCGCCUCUGCUCUCCACCAUGCUUCAGCUGCCCGUUGCCCCGCCCCGUGGCCUCUGACAUGUUUUGAAUGUCAUUUGAUAGAUGUCUAUCUGCUGCUUUUGUCUGUCUGUCAUUUGCUGCUUACUCUCUUGCUUGCUAUAUAAUGAAUAAACUCACAUAUUGGAAACUAAA
RNAcentral lists this long non-coding RNA (570 nucleotides) under Mus caroli (Ryukyu mouse). RNAcentral describes it as "lncRNA (MGP_CAROLIEiJ_G0003887.1)". Lineage: Eukaryota; Metazoa; Chordata; Mammalia; Rodentia; Muridae. The record is from RNAcentral.